Long non-coding RNA from Electrophorus electricus (electric eel), 624 nucleotides. RefSeq lists it as uncharacterized. NCBI's taxonomy places the organism in Eukaryota, Metazoa, Chordata, Actinopteri, Gymnotiformes, Gymnotidae. The record is from RefSeq and is a predicted model, not a curated record.
UAGACCACCAUAAGGUUGUUUCUGCUGUCAAUGUAUUUCAUUUUCUUCUCAUUGUUUAAUACCAUGGAGGUUUGUAGCAGACGCCACAACACUGACGAGGGAUAAAAGGACAGAAACACUUAUAUGUCAUGUUUGGGUAGGCCACAGUCCUGUUAUUUGCUGCGAGACUGAAGGGGUGUUGGUGUGUGAGCGCGGGAGCAAAGCAGACCCUUGAUCAGUGUUUUAUGGUGAUGGAAAGACGGAGCAUAUGAAGACGGAGAGGAACAUCUGGAAGUCCUUUACGUCUGAUGUGUGGCGGCGGAGGGCCCAGCUCCUAGGAGCGGGAAGGAGACGACGAGGAGAGGGCUCAGAAAGGACCAGGUGAAGAACACCAGGGCAAGAAACGAAAACCGGAGGGCGAUCCAGAGGUGAGGAAAUGUGAGGGGCCAGUGCUUGCAGGUGGCCAGACAGACUCAUCACCACGGCAACAUCUCAGACGACAACCAUUACCACAGCAACAGUGGCUUUGAUCUUCUGGAGCCCUGUGAAAGCAACCUUUAACCUGGCAGUAAUAAAAACCCACUCACACACACAAUGUGUGUGUGUGUGUGUGUGUGUGUGUGUGUGUGUGUGUGUGUGUGUGUG